RNAcentral lists this microRNA precursor (180 nucleotides) under Paramuricea clavata. The record is from RNAcentral. Lineage: Eukaryota; Metazoa; Cnidaria; Anthozoa; Malacalcyonacea; Plexauridae.
AAACAAAUAAUGAAUGUUUUUAUUCGUGCAAUGGUAAGAAUAUUUUCAUUCAGUGAAACUGAGAUGGAAUGUUCCAUUCAACUCGGCUGUCGCCUCGUUGAAUGCAUGGAACAUUCCAUCUUUCACCGAAUGAAAAUAUUCUUACCAUUGCACUCAUAAACAUUCAUUAUUUGUAUGUUU